AGGCUCCCAGUAGACGACUGGGUUGAUAGGCCAGAUGUGGAAGCCCGGUAACGGGUGGAGCUGACUGGUACUAAUAGGCCGAGGGCUUGUCCUCAGUUG
Molecule: ribosomal RNA, 99 nt
Filed under: Streptomyces sp. SID4912
Lineage: Bacteria; Bacillati; Actinomycetota; Actinomycetes; Kitasatosporales; Streptomycetaceae
Also listed under: 1 other name
Description: partial 23S ribosomal RNA
Rfam family: Bacterial large subunit ribosomal RNA
Source: RNAcentral